RNAcentral lists this ribosomal RNA (433 nucleotides) under uncultured bacterium. RNAcentral describes it as "partial 16S ribosomal RNA". It matches the Rfam family "Bacterial small subunit ribosomal RNA", at positions 29 to 507 of the family's 1533-position model. The record is from RNAcentral.
AACGAACGCUGGCGGCAGGCCUAACACAUGCAAGUCGAGCGAGGACUUCGGUUCUAGCGGCGGACGGGUGAGUAACGCGUGGGAAUGUGCCCUUCUCUACGGAAUAGCCCUGGGAAACUGGGAGUAAUACCGUAUACGCCCUAUUGGGGAAAGAUUUAUCGGAGAAGGAUCAGCACGCGUUGGAUUAGGUAGUUGGUGGGGUAAUGGCCUACCAAGCCGACGAUCCAUAGCUGGUUUGAGAGGAUGAUCAGCCACACUGGGACUGAGACACGGCCCAGACUCCUACGGGAGGCAGCAGUGGGUAAUCUUAGACAAUGGCGGCAACCCUGAUCGAGCCAUGCCGCGUGAGUGAUGAAGGCCUUAGGGUUGUAAAGCUCUUUCAGCUGGGAAGAUAAUGACGGUACCAGCAGAAGAAGCCCCGGCUAACUCCGUG